This 201-nucleotide long non-coding RNA is filed under the name Gossypium raimondii (Peruvian cotton). RNAcentral describes it as "long non-coding RNA (GRAI_LNC006502)". Lineage: Eukaryota; Viridiplantae; Streptophyta; Magnoliopsida; Malvales; Malvaceae. The record is from RNAcentral.
AAAAUGGUAAAUUUGCAUGUCAGGUCCUUGAAACUGCAGAUAGUUACAUUUUAGUCCUUUGGCACCAUUGGUGCCGCCAAUCUCUUUGGCACCAUUGGUGUCGCCAAUCUCUUUGGCACCUUUGGUGCCGCCAAUGUGAUUGGCCUGAUUAGGCUGUUGUCAGGUUUGUUUUUUUUUUCUGUUUUUUGUUUUUGGUAUAUU